RNAcentral lists this unclassified non-coding RNA (197 nucleotides) under uncultured Piloderma. Its description in RNAcentral is "sequence contains ITS2". The record is from RNAcentral. Lineage: Eukaryota; Fungi; Basidiomycota; Agaricomycetes; Atheliales; Atheliaceae.
AAUUCUCAACUCCGAUUUGAUUUGUUUCUAAUCGGAGCUUGGACUUGGAGUGUGCUGGCGUCUACUAGUCGGCUCCUCUCAAAUGCAUCAGCGGAAUCUAACCUUUGGUUUCCGGACGUCGGUGUGAUAAUAAAGUUGCGCCGUCGUUUGACUUCAAAGUCCGCUUAUAAUGGUCUUCGGAUGAACUCUUAUAUCAA